This 348-nucleotide RNase P RNA is filed under the name Christensenellaceae bacterium. RNAcentral's name for it is "RNase P RNA component class A". It matches the Rfam family "Bacterial RNase P class A". Rfam says of the family: Ribonuclease P (RNase P) is a ubiquitous endoribonuclease, found in archaea, bacteria and eukarya as well as chloroplasts and mitochondria. Its best characterised activity is the generation of mature 5'-ends of tRNAs by cleaving the 5'-leader elements of precursor-tRNAs. The record is from RNAcentral. Lineage: Bacteria; Bacillati; Bacillota; Clostridia; Christensenellales; Christensenellaceae.
UGAGCAGGCUGAACGGCCGCCCGGGCAUUGCCCGGGAGGAAAGUCCGAGCUCCAUAGGGCAGGGCGCCGGGUAAUACCCGGUGGAGGCGACUCCAAGGAAAGUGCAACAGAAAUAAACCGCCUUGGCGCUGGUUUCAGCGCCGGGGCAAGGGUGGAAAGGUGAGGUAAGAGCUCACCAGAGCCAUGGCGACUUGGCUGCUAUGUAAACCCCGCCCGGUGCAAGAUUGAUAGUGGGCAUGAUGCGGCGGCCCGCCGCGCCCCAUGUAAUCGCUUGAGCCUGAUGGCAACUUCAGGCCUAGAUAGAUGGCCGUUCUCGACAGAACUCGGCUUACAGGCUUGACUCAAAAC